AUGAAAAAAUCCCUUAAAAGCCACAAAAGGGUGGGAGCAGUGGAUGCAGGGAGGAGGGGAGUGAGCUGGGGUUGGGAUGGAGGGGGGCUAAAAUCCUGUCCCACUCCUUUGCCAUGGGCAGGGAAUCUCCUGCAGGUCUGGUCUGGCACUGCCAGGGGUGGGGUUUGGGAAGGAUGGGAGGGUUUGGGAAGGAUGGGAAGGUUUGGGAAGGAUGGGAGGGUUUGGGAAGGUUUGGGAAGGAUGGGAAGCUGCUGCUCCUGGCUGCUUUGGCUGGUUCUGGGGUGGAGCUGGUGCCCAGGGAUGUGCAGCAGCCCUGCAGGGCCCUGGGGAUGCAGCAGCUGCAGGAAUUUGGGUGUGGAGGGCACAGAGGGACCCCAGGGACGGGGCAGUUCUGCAGCUGCAGGGCUGGAGCUCAGCCUGGCAUGGAAAAAGGUUCAGGGCAGAGGGGAGCUGGUGCCAGCUGGGGUUUGUGUGCGGGGUGGGACGAGGGGACAGGACCCCGUGGCAAGGUCCCAGGCUGGCAUGGGAGCCACCAGUGUCCCGGCCACCAGCCAGGGAGGUGGCAGUGCCAUGGGGAGGGGACACUGGGCACCCCCAGGUGUUUUUGGGGCUGCUUGGGUUUGGACACGGGUUUGGGCCAGGUCCGUGGACACCUGGGUGGGAAUUCUGCUUUUCCCUGCCUGGCUGCAGUCCUGUGCACCCCCUGCAGUCCUGUGCACCCCCUGCAGUCCUGUGCAGCCCCUGCAGUCCUGUGCAGCUCCUGCAGUCCUGUGCAGCCCCUGCAGCCCCAGCUCUGCAGCCUGGCCUGUUCUUUCUCUGUGCAUCGUUCUUCUGGUUCCAGUUCUAGCUGCACUCGUAGAGUUGCCUUCCUUUGACCGAAUGUUGGAAUGUGAAAUAUUGUAUAUUUUAAAGUAUUUACCCUAUUUAUAUACUGUAUGUUACUGUUAAAUAAAUAUAAAUUCCAUUACCUGUGGGGAGUUUCAUUCAGUGCUCUGGCUGCUGCCAUUCCCUCGUUCCCUGGGCUCUCCUUCCCGAGGGAUUUCCUGGAGGAGCCAAGGACACAUCCUGAGGGGUCCCACGUUCCCCGUGGGGUUUGAGGUGACCCCACAAGCCCAGGCUGCCCCUGUGGGUGCUGGCCCUGCUCCCCUGCAAUCCCAGCACGAUUCAUCCACCUGCAGAUUUCACUGGGAGUGGGAAAAUCCCCGGGAGCUCCUCUUGCCCCGAGUCCCUCCUUCAUCCCAGCCCUCGCCGGGGUCAGCAGGGCAGAACC
This 1270-nucleotide long non-coding RNA is filed under the name Lonchura striata (white-rumped munia). RNAcentral describes it as "domestica (Bengalese finch) lncRNA (ENSLSDG00000011708.1)". Lineage: Eukaryota; Metazoa; Chordata; Aves; Passeriformes; Estrildidae. The record is from RNAcentral.